UGCCAGCAGGGUAAGUUCAUGGU
This 23-nucleotide unclassified non-coding RNA is filed under the name Mus musculus (house mouse). RNAcentral's name for it is "oocyte_clustered_small_RNA9841". The record is from RNAcentral. Lineage: Eukaryota; Metazoa; Chordata; Mammalia; Rodentia; Muridae.